Molecule: long non-coding RNA, 690 nt
Filed under: Lupinus angustifolius (narrow-leaved blue lupine)
Lineage: Eukaryota; Viridiplantae; Streptophyta; Magnoliopsida; Fabales; Fabaceae
Description: long non-coding RNA (LANG_LNC002182)
Source: RNAcentral
GAAUGAUAGGUGUAACGAAAGGAAAACAUAGAUUCCAAUGUUUCUCAUCUCCAAUUAAAGUUAAAAUAUAAUUAAUGACAAAAAAACAUCUCAAUGACAGCUAUAUAUAUAUAUAUAUAUAUAUAUAUAUAUAGAAUUAUAAGAAGAUAAUAUAAUUAAUAAUACAAUUCUAAACGUGUAGCACAUAAAGUACAAAAAUACUUCCUCUUAAUAUUGAAGCACAUAGGCAAAAAGCAAAACUUCCAUUGAAUCUCAACAUCCAUGGCUUCAACCUUACCUCCACAGUGAGGACAUGAUCCAGUAGCUUUUUGCCUCCCAAUUUCUUUCUCCUCCUCAUCACACACAUACAUGAACCAAUUUUUUUUCAUGCAACUUCUUCUUGUUUAAGAUGUUGUUGUUGUUAUUGUUGUUGAUGAUGAUAUCGGUGUUGUUGUUGAUGAUGUUGUAGUUGUGUUUCUUGUCUUGUUUUUUGUUUGAGAACUUGUUGGGUAUGUUGGUCUAUAGAUAGAGUUGGCAAUUGUGAAAGGACAGUCCAUAGGGGCAAGGUGGAAUUGUGCUUAUAAAAUAUUGUUGUGGUUGUUAGUUGACAUAAUUCAAUGGAAUAUUCUCUUGGAUAGUUUCAAUGCCUUGUUUUUCUUCUCAUUUUUAAGGUAACUUAUUAAUAUUUUGUAUUUGUGAGAAAAAAAAAUU